CGCACAUAAGACAUGCAAGUUGAACGGACUUAAUCGAAAUAUUUAUAUUUUGAAGCGGUUAGUGGCGGACUGGUGAGUAACGCGUAAGGAACCUGCCUAUUAGAGGGGAAUAACAGUGAGAAAUCAUUGCUAAUACCGCAUAUGCCAUAGAUAUCACAUGAUAACAGUGGGAAAGGAGCAAUCCGCUAAUAGAUGGCCUUGCGUCUGAUUAGAUAGUUGGUGGGGUAACGGCCUACCAAGUCGACGAUCAGUAGCCGGACUGAGAGGUUGAACGGCCACAUUGGGACUGAGAUACGGCCCAGACUCCUACGGGAGGCAGCAGUCGGGAAUAUUGCGCAAUGGAGGAAACUCUGACGCAGUGACGCCGCGUAUAGGAAGAAGGUUUUCGGAUUGUAAACUAUUGUCGUUAGGGAAGAGAAAGGACAGUACCUAAGGAGGAAGCUCCGGCUAACUACGUGCCAGCAGCCGCGGUAAUACGUAGGGAGCGAGCGUUAUCCGGAAUUAUUGGGUGUAAAGGGUGCGUAGACGGGAGAACAAGUUAGUUGUGAAAUACCUCGGCUCAACUGAGGAACUGCAACUAAAACUGUACUUCUUGAGUGCAGGAGAGGUAAGUGGAAUUCCUAGUGUAGCGGUGAAAUGCGUAGAUAUUAGGAGGAACACCAGUGGCGAAGGCGACUUACUGGACUGUAACUGACGUUGAGGCACGAAAGUGUGGGGAGCAAACAGGAUUAGAUACCCUGGUAGUCCACACCGUAAACGAUGGAUACUAGGUGUAGGAGGUAUUAAGCCUUCUGUGCCGUCGCAAACGCAGUAAGUAUCCCACCUGGGGAGUACGGCCGCAAGGUUGAAACUCAAAGGAAUUGACGGGGGCCCGCACAAGCAGUGGAGUAUGUGGUUUAAUUCGAAGCAACGCGAAGAACCUUACCAGGGCUUGACAUAUAAAGUAAUAUUUAAGAGAUUAAAUAGCUCUUCGGAGACUUUAUACAGGUGGUGCAUGGUUGUCGUCAGCUCGUGUCGUGAGAUGUUGGGUUAAGUCCCGCAACGAGCGCAACCCCUGUACUUAGUUGCCAGCAUGUAGAGAUGGGAACUCUAAGUAGACUGCCGCGAAUAACGCGGAGGAAGGUGGGGAUGACGUCAAAUCAUCAUGCCCCUUAUGAUUUGGGCUACACACGUGCUACAAUGGCGUAAACAAAGGGAAGCGAGAGGGUGACCUGGAGCAAAUCCCAAAAAUAACGUCCCAGUUCGGACUGUAGUCUGCAACCCGACUACACGAAGCUGGAAUCGCUAGUAAUCGCAGAUCAGAAUGCUGCGGUGAAUACGUUCCCGGGUCUUGUACACACCGCCCGUCACACCAUGGGAGUCAGCAACGCCCGAAGUCAGUGACCUAACCGAAAGGGAGGAGCUGCCGAAGGCGGGGCAGGUAACUGGGGUGAAGUCAUA
This 1440-nucleotide ribosomal RNA is filed under the name uncultured organism. Its description in RNAcentral is "partial small subunit ribosomal RNA". It matches the Rfam family "Bacterial small subunit ribosomal RNA". The record is from RNAcentral.